AGGAGUCCUGAGCGUUGCUCCUGGUCUGAGGAGAUGCCCAGCCUGGGGGCGGGGGAGGCAGGGGUGCAGGGAAGGUUCUCGCCGACCUACUGUGGGGGGCUUUGUGUGCAGACACAGGUGUUCUGUGCAGAAACGGCCGCCCUCCUGGCAAGAGGUCAGAAUGGAUGGCACCAGAAACCCUUCCCUGUCCUUCCUUGCAGAGGGCCGGUUCUGCACACCGGGGUCUAGGGCUGGGCAGGCCCGAAGCUCACCCUCCCUCGGGUGAUCAUGACAGCUUUCCUUUCCUCUGCAGGAGCCAUGGAGCCUACUCAGGCCUCAUGGCCCAUCCAGAAGCCCUCCGUGGACAGUAGGGUUGUACAGUCAUCUCCAAGGACUGUCAGGUUUGGGUACCUGCUACCCAGGAGCGGCAGGAAUCUUUUCUCGCCAGACAUCUCCUGGAGGACCCAGCACAGCCAUGAAAUAUUGCCGGGGACGGUGACAACGGCCAGUGAGCCAGGAGCCCGGGAGUCUGCUUAGGACUCUGCGUCUUUCUCUCUCUCAGUUCCUCCCCUGCUUGCUCUGUCUGUCUGUCUGUCUCUGUCUUUCUCUCUCUCCCAACAAUAAAUUCACACAAACAAAAAAAAGCCCUAAAAUGACGAGAGAAGA
Suricata suricatta (meerkat) is the source of this 645-nucleotide long non-coding RNA. RefSeq lists it as uncharacterized. The transcript is spliced from 2 exons. Lineage: Eukaryota; Metazoa; Chordata; Mammalia; Carnivora; Herpestidae. The record is from RefSeq and is a predicted model, not a curated record.